Long non-coding RNA from Hemicordylus capensis (graceful crag lizard), 2476 nucleotides. RefSeq lists it as uncharacterized. Lineage: Eukaryota; Metazoa; Chordata; Lepidosauria; Squamata; Cordylidae. The transcript is spliced from 3 exons. The record is from RefSeq and is a predicted model, not a curated record.
UCAAGUUACUCGCAGAACAAUCAUUAGAAAAAUGAAAGCUUUUUCGUAGUCCAGUAUCUUCUGAAGUUUACGGUAAACUUCUUUGGUUCGCUUAUAUUAUCCUCUUACGUGUCACGUCCCGCUAAAAUAUUCAUAAGUGGCAUGGUGGUGACCCUUUGGAUUCCUUUCCUCCCAAACAUUGCAAAGUUUAGCCUGGCGCACUCCCUGAAAUAUUUGUCUCCUCCUCCUCCAAAGCAGCUCCGAAUUAAUGUGGACUUUCAAUGAUAGCUGCCCAUAAAGCCCACUUACUUGGGAGUAAGCUCCGUCCAAAUCAAUGCGACCUGCUUGCGUCCGUGAAAAGACUUUCAGAUUCGGGGGUAUUAGACGUGGGGGUUUCCCAAGAAAAUUUAACUUUCGAUAAGGAAAGGUAAAGCCUUUCUUAUCUUUUGUGGAGAAGCUUGGGAAAUUGUGGAAACUGCAUCGUGCCUCUUGGCACUCAAGUGAUGUUGAAAAACAGUUGCAGUAGAUUGGCCUUCGUUUGGAAGGAAGCGCGGGCGUGAGCCCAGGACCCGAAGCUUGUGAAGGGUUGUCAAGAGAGGAGCUAAAACACUGGACCCUUACUUACGACCUAACGUGGAAGGCAAUUACACCCCUUCAGGGACCCUCGCUGCCUGCCUCUCGUUGCAGAUCGGAGUACAGCCUUCCAGGGAGAGGGAGGAAGAAAAAAUGGCAGGGAUCGAGGCGAGGAUCCGGUAGCGGGAUCCGGUUUCUUUGAGAUUUGCCCAGCAGAGGAAACGCAGCAGACGCCUCUUGCUCUGGAGAGAGCCUGACUUUGGUUCUUCCCGCCCCACCCUCGGGUUGGUGACAGUGUUGAGAACUCUCGCUUUGUGUGUGCGUGUCUCCCUUGUUGUUGUACUGCUACACAAACCAGCUACGAAACUAUCCCCAGCGAAAUGUUUUCCGACAGCCCAAGAAUGGGGGUUGGCUUGAAUGGCAGCCGGUGAGAGGAGGAAGCUUGAAAGACACACGAGUAGUAGCGCGAGGCCUUUGACUCCUGCAGCGCCUGUAGGAAGGACGGCUGAUUUUUGGCUCCACUCCUCCCUCUCGGCUUUCUUUUAAGAAGCCCAGUGGCGUGACUUCUAAACAAGGGACGGACGCUUUAAGGAUCCAGCACGUUGUAUUGAUUUUAAACAAAUCCUCUGCCCCCGCCCUCCCUUCCAUCUGCGCUCUGCCCUCGGAUUAAGUUUAUGAAUCGCCCCUCAGUAUAAAAGUAACAUUGAUUACCUCCAAACUGUAUGAUCACUUAAUCAGAGGACUGGAUGAUUUCAUACGCCUCACUCAAUGGCGCGGAUUCGAAGCGAUUUCCCCUUUUGAAAAGGAGAGAGAGGGAGGGAAAUAGCCCUCGCCCCCCUUUCUUAUUAAAACGCCAACAAUACAUGAAGGGAGGCAGCUGGAUCCUCCAGGAUUUACGGGCUUUUCUCUUGCUUUCAUGCAAGCAGGUGUCUUUGGGACUGCCAUUGUCUCAGCCUACCCCCCCUCGGCUAAUAAUAGGAGCUUCUGAAAUGAAAGAUCCAUACGUCCAGCUUUCAAAUCCUUCAGAUGGCCUGGCCUCUAACGCAGCAGCCCUCCCCUAAGGUAUAUCAGCUCUCAUCUUGGAAGUCAAUAUCAGUGCCUUAAUUAAGAGAGAUACCCAUUGAUUCCUUCUGUUAAACCUGGAAGCAGCAAUGCAAUUCCAUGCCAGCAACAGAAGAGAUUAAAGGGAGGCAACAAGAGAGGGCGAGAAAUCUUGAAAUAAUUUUCAGUGAAAUGAAACCUAGGCUGUAACAGCAGAGACUCAACAGGAAACUGUUUAUACAUUUCAUUGAUAUUGAGUGUGCAAUGGCAGCUGAAAGGGGAAUACUGUGAAAUGUCAAGGAACAGGAGGAAAUUUUAUUUAUUUAUUUGCUCACUCAUUCUUUUGACCUUCAGAAGAUAAUGCCAGAUCAAGAGAAUGACCAUAUCAGGAGGAGGAGGAUCAUGCCUUCAUUUCUCUACAUGACUGUAGAUUAUUUCGGCUUCAGGAGACAAGAAUGUCCCUUUAACAUCUGACCUGGCCUUUAUUUAAGAGAAGCACUUCACGGUUCAGGAAAGACAGACAAUUUUCUAAUUCCCAGCACUGCUGGAGGCUGAGGCAGCAACUUCCAGACAGGACACCUGCUAACACUAGAGAAAUGGCAUUAUUAUGUCUACAAGUUUACAAAUCUGAGGAUCAGAAAGCUUUUGCUGCUGCUUCUACAACACAGGCCAAGGAUGACGACUUCUUCAGAGUUUCAGAGGGUUUUGCAAGAAACGGUCUCUUUUCACUUCCAGUCUCAGCAGAUCGGUUUCCACGUGAAAAAGUCAAUAGUCAAAGAGCUUCCUAAGUUUCAUUGGUGUGUAGCAGAAAGGGGAUUAAGACUUGGGGCCUUUUUACUGGCAAGCCUUUAAGCAAAUAAAGGUUAUUGAAUUUUUAAAAGAA